AACGAACGCUGGCGGCAUGCCUAACACAUGCAAGUCGAGCGCCCGUAGCAAUACGGGAGCGGCGCACGGGUGAGUAGCGCGUGGGAACCUGCCCAGAGGUUCGGGACAACCGCGGGAAACUGCGGCUGAUACCGGAUGAUGCCUGAGGGCCAAAGAUUUAUCGCCUUUGGAGGGGCCCGCGUCGGAUUAGGUAGUUGGUGAGGUAACGGCUCACCAAGCCUGUGAUCCGUAGCUGGUCUGAGAGGAUGAUCAGCCACACUGGGACUGAGACACGGCCCAGACUCCUACGGGAGGCAGCAGUGGGGAGUAUUGGACAAUGGGGGCAACCCUGAUCCAGCAAUGCCGCGUGGUGAUGAAGG
RNAcentral lists this ribosomal RNA (359 nucleotides) under uncultured bacterium. RNAcentral describes it as "bacterial SSU rRNA". It matches the Rfam family "Bacterial small subunit ribosomal RNA", at positions 28 to 414 of the family's 1533-position model. The record is from RNAcentral.